This 393-nucleotide ribosomal RNA is filed under the name uncultured bacterium. RNAcentral describes it as "bacterial SSU rRNA". It matches the Rfam family "Bacterial small subunit ribosomal RNA", at positions 28 to 424 of the family's 1533-position model. The record is from RNAcentral.
GACGAACGCUGGCGGCGUGCUUAACACAUGCAAGUCGAGCGGUAAGGCCCUUUCGGGGGUACGACGAGCGGCGAACGGGUGAGUAACACGUGGGUGACCUGCCCUCAGCUCUGGGAUAAGCCUGGGAAACCGGGUCUAAUACUGGAUAUGACUCCAUGACGCAUGUUGUGGGGUGGAAAGCCUUGUGCGGCUGAGGAUGGGCCCGCGGCCUAUCAGCUUGUUGGUGGGGUGAUGGCCUACCAAGGCGACGACGGGUAGCCGGCCUGAGAGGGCGACCGGCCACACUGGGACUGAGACACGGCCCAGACUCCUACGGGAGGCAGCAGUGGGGAAUCUUGCGCAAUGGGCGAAAGCCUGACGCAGCGACGCCGCGUGAGGGAUGACGGCCUGGUU